UUACAUCAAUCUAUAUGUAAAUCGAUGUCUAAGUUCAAUUUUAAAAAUUCACAACCCCUAUACUUCUCCCUUUUCCUCAGGCGCUUAGCCAAUUUUUUUAGUUUCCCCCUUUUGUAUAGUUUGCCUCCAUUUAAACAUAAAUACCGUCCCGCCUAAUCAAUCAUGGAGUAUAAUAAAAUAAUAAAAAACUUUAAAAAAUAUAUCAAAAUCAGAAUCAAAACAUACAAAACUAGUAAACAAACAUAUCGGGGUUUUAUUUUCAGACUAAAGAGUUUGCCAUUCCCCCUUUCUCUCGACUGCUAGCUUAGCUUAAACCUAAACGCGUGAUUAAAUCUUCAAUCUCCGAUUAAACCACUCAACUUCUUCUUUUCAUCCUUUAAUUCCUUUCUCUCUUUCAAAUGUUCUAAUUUCUGAUUUGUUUCAAUUAAUUGAAAAGAUUCGAAGAUUAAAGUGAAGCUAUUGUGUUCGCCUUUGAAGUGUAAGGUUCGAUCUUGAGGAGUGGGGGUGGUUGGAGCUUAAAUCUUGAAGCUUGGUGUUUUUUAAAGCUUAAAGUUUGGAGCUUGCAGUUUAGUUGGAUUUUAGGGUUUGGAGUUGGAUUAUAUUUUGGAGCUUGGGUUUUUAGCUUGAACUAAUUAGAUCCUAUUGGCGAGGAUUUUUGCCAACUAAACUUUGCAAUAGAAAGGCAUAUUGGUCGACAUGAAGGAGGACUUGCUUGUUCUUUGAGGGAAGCUGUAAUCUUUGAAGCUCAUGAAGGACGACUUGUAGACACAUUGGUAGAGAUAAAACUCUUGCCCUGCUAUUCUUUUGACAUUUUAGACUUGGGAAACUAAAAGAUAUAAUCGAUAUCAAUUUUAGGGACUUGCUAGUACAUGAACUAGACUAGGCAAUGAUAAGAACACAAGAAACUAACCUUAAUGCAAAUACUUUAACUUAGAAUGUACCAUUCUGGACAGCCUGACCACCUCUGACUAAAAAUGGGAUAACUUCUUGUAGGAAACGUAUUUUUUAGAUCCGUAAAAUUUGCUGAAAACUAGACUCCUCUACCUUUCCAAGGGUAUAUCACACUGCACCCGUAAAUUCGUAGAUUAAAUCAGUUUAUUCAUCAAAGUGGACUCAAAUUAUUCUCAGAAUUCUCAUUUUUCUGUGUCACCAAAUAACACUGAGUUCAAGAACACUGGACUUAGAGAUAAGAGCUGCAAAGAACUUAUGUAUACUUCUGGUACUUUUUAAUAUACUCCUUUUAUUAUAAUAUAACCUGAUGGAUUUUUUUUGGAUCCUCUUAGAAACAACUUUGAACCUGUGAAACUGCAAUCUUAGCUUAUAAAUGGUUCUUCAUAGGAUUUUUACACAAGUUCUGGAAAGAGAAAACCUGAUCAGAUAACUACUACGUUUCCCUGUCUUAAUAUAUAGCACUAACUAGUAUCAUGUCCAAAACUUGUUCAUUUGUUUAUUGUUUAAACAAUGAUUUAAAUAAUGGAUCAUUUCUGCUCAUGCUCAUGGGCAUAACUACCAUCAAAUUGUAGCUUGGAGCUGUGCUUUCCUUGCAUGGAUGUUACAAAUCAUCACAACAAGGUGGGGGUGAUGGUAUGUGUAACAUAUUUAUCAACUUGGUAAGGUGCUCAAAAUAUAUAUCAUCGUGUUUUCGUUCAAUUAACUAACUAUUAACAUUUCCUCAUCUUCUUUCCGCUCAACACAGGUGGCCUUAUCCAUUCCUUGACCUGUCACAUUCGUUUUCUCCACUGUGGUAUGCAGUAUUUUAGUAUCAGAACUUGCAACGUACUAAAACAAGCAGAAUUUCUAAGCUCGCGUUUUUACAGUAUUAGACAAGAAAAUGUUUGAUUACCUUGGAUGGUCAUGAUAUGAAGACAUUGCAGGUCCAUUAGCUAAGAAGUCAGAUUGGGAUGGUGGGUUAGAAACCAGUUCUAUUUGCUACAAUUAUACUAGAAAAUGUGAUGAUGAGAAGAGAAAAUGCCACUAAAAAAGAGGCUAUUAAAGCUUGAUACUACAAGUCGUAAUCUUUUGUGGGAGGUUGGAGAUCGCGGAACUCAAAUGUCUGGAGGACAAAAAAGAGGAUUGCAUUGGCUAGAGCAAUGAUUAAAGAUCCCGCAGAGAUAUGGAGCCUGCAGAGACCAAAGUUUAGCAUGUUGAUGGUGGGACUUAAAUUUGGUAUGUUUGUUGGUGCAAACACACUUUCUGUAAUUUAUGACAUUAGAAAUUGUUUAGCCACGGUUACAGGAUAUGGGAGAAAUUUAGCUGAUAAAUUAUGUCUGGGAUGAACUAUAGUGUAAAUUAUGGUUUGUAAAUGUCUAGUACUAGAUUUCGAGUUAUGUAGUUUGCUUGUAUUCAUGAAA
Molecule: long non-coding RNA, 2351 nt
Organism: Daucus carota subsp. sativus
Lineage: Eukaryota; Viridiplantae; Streptophyta; Magnoliopsida; Apiales; Apiaceae
Exons: 3
Source: RefSeq, a predicted model, not a curated record